RNAcentral lists this ribosomal RNA (512 nucleotides) under Paragehyra austini. RNAcentral's name for it is "partial 16S ribosomal RNA". It matches the Rfam family "Bacterial large subunit ribosomal RNA", at positions 1925 to 2599 of the family's 2925-position model. The record is from RNAcentral. Lineage: Eukaryota; Metazoa; Chordata; Lepidosauria; Squamata; Gekkonidae.
UAACGGCCGCGGUAUCCUAACCGUGCAAAGGUAGCGUAAUCACUUGUCCCCCAAUUAGAGACCAGUAUGAAUGGCUAAAUGAGGGCCUAACUGUCUCCUACAACCAAUCAAUGAAACUGAUCUUCCAGUACAAAAGCUGAAAUACACCCAUAAGACGAGAAGACCCUGUGGAGCUUCAAACAAUGUCACUACCCACACACACACACAACCCAACAAACGGGCACACCCACCUACACCCCAUCUAGUGAUAGUUUUAAGUUGGGGCGACUGCGGAGCAAAACAAAACCUCCAUGAAACAAGGGCCCCCCCUACCCUAGGAAAACACACCAAAGGAAUAAAAUAACCUGACCCAGUAUUACUGCUCACCGAACCAAGUUACCCCAGGGAUAACAGCGCCAUCCUCUUUCAGAGUCCAUAUCGCCAAGAGGGUUUACGACCUCGAUGUUGGAUCAGGACACCCUGGCGGUGCAGCCGCUGCCAAGGGUUCGUUUGUUCAACGAUUAAUGCCCUAC